This 25-nucleotide non-coding RNA is filed under the name Rattus norvegicus (Norway rat). The record is from RNAcentral. Lineage: Eukaryota; Metazoa; Chordata; Mammalia; Rodentia; Muridae.
UAUGAAUCUAUGGUAGCCUCCCUGG